GAUGAAGAACGUAGCAAAAUGCGAUAGUAAUGUGAAUUGCAGAAUUCAGUGAAUCAUCGAAUCUUUGAACGCACAUUGCGCCCGCCAGUAUUCUGGCGGGCAUGCCUGUUCGAGCGUCAUUUCAACCCUCAAGCACAGCUUGGUGUUGGGACUCGCGUUAAUUCGCGUUCCUCAAAUUGAUUGGCGGUCACGUCGAGCUUCCAUAGCGUAGUAGUAAAACCCUCGUUACUGGUAAUCGUCGCGGCCACGCCGUUAAACCCCAACUUCUGAAUGUUGACCUCGGAUCAGGUAGGAAUACCCGCUGAACUUAAGCAUAUCAAUAAGCGGAGGA
Molecule: unclassified non-coding RNA, 331 nt
Filed under: soil metagenome
Description: partial contains 5.8S ribosomal RNA, internal transcribed spacer 2, and large subunit ribosomal RNA
Rfam family: 5.8S ribosomal RNA (bases 1-119)
Source: RNAcentral